Molecule: ribosomal RNA, 258 nt
Filed under: Triticum aestivum (bread wheat)
Lineage: Eukaryota; Viridiplantae; Streptophyta; Magnoliopsida; Poales; Poaceae
Description: partial small subunit ribosomal RNA
Source: RNAcentral
AUGGACCAUUCCAUCCCUUAUUCCCGUGGCUAUGCAUCGGAUUCGGAUGACGAAGGUCCCGAUGAACAAGUUGAUGAGGAGGGGUUCACGGUGAAGGAGGCCGAAGCUUUCGAGAAGGUAUUCGAUCGGGAUCAUUGGACUACAUUGUUCAAGGAUGUUAGUCUCGCGGAUGAAGCCGUGGUAGAUGGUGGCCAAGGUAUAUCUCUUGGGCCAAGCUCUCACCGUGAUUUGGUCUCUUGGGCCAAGCUCUCACCGUGA